Molecule: long non-coding RNA, 819 nt
Organism: Leptopilina boulardi
Lineage: Eukaryota; Metazoa; Arthropoda; Insecta; Hymenoptera; Figitidae
Exons: 2
Source: RefSeq, a predicted model, not a curated record
UAACUAUAAUUAUACCAGUUCUUAUAAUAUUAUAUAUUAUAGAAAAUAUACUUUUAACAUAAUAAAUAAUUUUACUUAAUUUUACUCAAUAAAAAAGUUUUGUGCGUGUUGUUUCAAGUGUAUAUGCAUCAGUCUUAUCAGAAUGUUAUAAAUAAAGAAAUGUCAUUUUUUUAUCAGCACUCCAUUAAAACGGUUUAUAUUAUUGUUAUAUUCUAAAAUUAUAGGGAAAAAUUCAUAAAUAAAAUUUUUGAUGAUUUUAAAACGAAUGUUAAUCAUUUUAUUUAAUUGUUUACGCAAUAGUUUUUUGUCACUAUGAAAUUUAAAUAAAUUUUUUUUUUAAAUUUCAAAAAAUGUAUAUCUAAAAAAUAAGGUAAGAUAAUCUUCAUUGCGCCACAAUUUCAUAUGUUUAAACAAUUAAAUAAACAUUUAUAAUCUAAGUUUGUAAAAAUUUGUAAUUUUAAGAACGAAGACAAACAAUAUGUAUAUAAAAACCGUGACCGAGAGCACCAAUUUUUUUUUGUUCUUAUAAUUUUUGUGAUAUAACCGGAUAAUAAGAUAAAAUUUGUUUCUAAACACCAUGGUCAAUUUUAAAUUAAUUGGAUUAUUAAUGAUAUUUAUAAAAAUCAUUAUGUUGAUGAACUUCUCAGAUGCGCAAUGUAUUGUGAAUGGUGGUCUAUGUAGCCCUCAUGAUACAAGAACUUAUUGUUGUGGAAUUUGUCAAUUAGAACCACCAACUUAUACAUAUGGAAUCUGUAUAAACGGAUAAUAUUUAUGUUCAUACUUAUAAUCAUACAAAUAAUAAAAUUAUAUAAAAUAAAA